RNAcentral lists this ribosomal RNA (912 nucleotides) under uncultured organism. Its description in RNAcentral is "bacterial SSU rRNA". It matches the Rfam family "Bacterial small subunit ribosomal RNA", at positions 561 to 1490 of the family's 1533-position model. The record is from RNAcentral.
UAAAGGGUGUUCAGGCUGCCUGGUAAGUCAGGGGUGAAAGUCGGUCGCUCAACGAUCGAAUUGCCUUUGAAACUGUCAGGCUCGAGUAUGGAUGCGGUAGGCGGAAUGUGUAGUGUAGCGGUGAAAUGCAUAGAUAUUACACAGAACACCGAUUGCGAAGGCAGCUUACCAAACCAGCACUGACGCUGAAGCACGAAAGCGUGGGGAGCGAACAGGAUUAGAUACCCUGGUAGUCCACGCCGUAAACUUUGCUCACUCGCUGUUGGCGAUAGACAGUCAGCGGCCAAGGGAAACCGAUAAGUGAGCCACCGGGGGAGUACGGCCGCAAGGUUGAAACUCAAAGGAAUUGACGGGGGCCCGCACAAGCGGUGGAACAUGUGGUUUAAUUCGAUGAUACGCGAGGAACCUUACCUGGGCUUAAAUGUGAAGUGCAUUGAUUGGAAACAAUCAUUUCCUUCGGGACCCUUUACAAGGUGCUGCAUGGUUGUCGUCAGCUCGUGCCGUGAGGUGUCGGGUUAAGUCCCAUAACGAGCGCAACCCCUAUUGUUAGUUACCAGCGCGUAAUGGCGGGGACUCUAGCGAAACUGCCGGUGUAAACCGCGAGGAAGGUGGGGAUGACGUCAAAUCAGCACGGCCCUUAUGUCCAGGGCUACACACGUGUUACAAUGGCCGGUACAGCGGGCAGCUAGGCAGCGAUGUCAUGCUAAUCCCGAAAGCCGGUCCCAGUUCGGAUUGGAGUCUGCAACCCGACUCCAUGAAGGUGGAAUCGCUAGUAAUCGCGCAUCAGCCAUGGCGCGGUGAAUACGUUCCCGGGCCUUGUACACACCGCCCGUCAAGCCAUGGAAGUCUGGGGUGCCUGAAGCCGUAACCGCAAGGAGCGUCUAGGUAACAGAUGACUGGGGCUAAGUCGUA